GCUAGUUGAUAUUCAGGUAUGGACAUUAGAUGGACACGCUACUAUCCCUUGAUCCCCCAGCUCCAAUUAAUUUUGAAAGAGCAAGUGUAAAGCAACUCCAUUUAGGAUGUGACAUCAUUCUCCUCUUACUCCUCUCCAUGAUCCCUUGUUCCCCGAACUGGCUGAGUCACAGGGGUCUAGGUGCUUGUUGCCUGAAUGGCUUGCCCCAGUUGGCAUUCAUAGGGGUUUGAAUUCAAG
Molecule: long non-coding RNA, 237 nt
Organism: Perognathus longimembris pacificus (Pacific pocket mouse)
Lineage: Eukaryota; Metazoa; Chordata; Mammalia; Rodentia; Heteromyidae
Exons: 3
Source: RefSeq, a predicted model, not a curated record